GAUGAACGCUGGCGGCGUGCCUAAUACAUGCAAGUCGAGCGAACAGACGAGGAGCUUGCUCCUCUGACGUUAGCGGCGGACGGGUGAGUAACACGUGGAUAACCUACCUAUAAGACUGGGAUAACUUCGGGAAACCGGAGCUAAUACCGGAUAAUAUAUUGAACCGCAUGGUUCAAUAGUGAAAGACGGUUUUGCUGUCACUUAUAGAUGGAUCCGCGCCGCAUUAGCUAGUUGGUAAGGUAACGGCUUACCAAGGCAAAGAUGCGUAGCCGACCUGAGAGGGUGAUCGGCCACACUGGAACUGAGACACGGUCCAGACUCCUACGGGAGGCAGCAGUAGGGAAUCUUCCGCAAUGGGCGAAAGCCUGACGGAGCAACGCCGCGUGAGUGAUGAAGGUCUUCGGAUCGUAAAACUCUGUUAUUAGGGAAGAACAAAUGUGUAAGUAACUAUGCACGUCUUGACGGUACCUAAUCAGAAAGCCACGGCUAACUACGUG
RNAcentral lists this ribosomal RNA (497 nucleotides) under uncultured bacterium. Its description in RNAcentral is "partial 16S ribosomal RNA". It matches the Rfam family "Bacterial small subunit ribosomal RNA", at positions 28 to 507 of the family's 1533-position model. The record is from RNAcentral.